RNAcentral lists this ribosomal RNA (540 nucleotides) under uncultured bacterium. RNAcentral describes it as "bacterial LSU rRNA". It matches the Rfam family "Bacterial large subunit ribosomal RNA", at positions 1692 to 2225 of the family's 2925-position model. The record is from RNAcentral.
GAGAGAACUCAGGAGAAGGAACUCGGCAAAUUAACACCGUAACUUCGGGAGAAGGUGUGCCCUUGUAGGGUGAAGUCCCUUGCGGAUGGAGCUCGAAAGGGUUGCAGUGAAAAGGUGGCUGCGACUGUUUAUUAAAAACACAGCACUCUGCAAACACGAAAGUGGACGUAUAGGGUGUGACGCCUGCCCGGUGCUGGAAGAUUAAAUGAUGGGGUGCAAGCUCUUGACUGAAGUCCCAGUAAACGGCGGCCGUAACAAUAACGGUCCUAAGGUAGCGAAAUUCCUUGUCGGGUAAGUUCCGACCCGCACGAAUGGCGUAACGAUGGCCACACUGUCUCCUCCUGAGACUCAGCGAAGUUGAAAUGUUUGUGAAGAUGCAAUCUCCCCGCUGCUAGACGGAAAGACCCCGUGAACCUUUACUGUAGCUUUGCAUUGGACUUUGAACAGACUUGUGUAGGAUAGGUGGGAGGCUUUGAAGUGGGAACGCCAGUUCUCAUGGAGCCGUCCUUGAAAUACCACCUGGUGUGUUUGAGGUUCUAA